Molecule: ribosomal RNA, 419 nt
Filed under: Escherichia coli
Lineage: Bacteria; Pseudomonadati; Pseudomonadota; Gammaproteobacteria; Enterobacterales; Enterobacteriaceae
Description: bacterial LSU rRNA
Rfam family: Bacterial large subunit ribosomal RNA
Source: RNAcentral
GGGUUGUGAGGUUAAGCGACUAAGCGUACACGGUGGAUGCCCUGGCAGUCAGAGGCGAUGAAGGACGUGCUAAUCUGCGAUAAGCGUCGGUAAGGUGAUAUGAACCGUUAUAACCGGCGAUUUCCGAAUGGGGAAACCCAGUGUGUUUCGACACACUAUCAUUAACUGAAUCCAUAGGUUAAUGAGGCGAACCGGGGGAACUGAAACAUCUAAGUACCCCGAGGAAAAGAAAUCAACCGAGAUUCCCCCAGUAGCGGCGAGCGAACGGGGAGCAGCCCAGAGCCUGAAUCAGUGUGUGUGUUAGUGGAAGCGUCUGGAAAGGCGCGCGAUACAGGGUGACAGCCCCGUACACAAAAAUGCACAUACUGUGAGCUCGAUGAGUAGGGCGGGACACGUGGUAUCCUGUCUGAAUAUGGGGG